RNAcentral lists this ribosomal RNA (207 nucleotides) under uncultured bacterium. RNAcentral's name for it is "partial 16S ribosomal RNA". It matches the Rfam family "Bacterial small subunit ribosomal RNA", at positions 568 to 774 of the family's 1533-position model. The record is from RNAcentral.
CACGUAGGCGGCCUGGCAAGUUGGACGUGAAAGCCCCUGGCUCAACCAGGGAAUUGCAUCCAAUACUGCCGGGCUUGAGCUCGGGAGGGGAGAGUGGAACUCCUAGUGUAGCGGUGAAAUGCGUAGAUAUUAGGAGGAACGCCGGUGGCGAAAGCGACUCUCUGGCCCGAUGCUGACGCUGAGGUGCGAAAGCUAGGGGAGCAAACA